RNAcentral lists this ribosomal RNA (462 nucleotides) under Salipiger thiooxidans. RNAcentral's name for it is "bacterial SSU rRNA". It matches the Rfam family "Bacterial small subunit ribosomal RNA", at positions 713 to 1175 of the family's 1533-position model. Lineage: Bacteria; Pseudomonadati; Pseudomonadota; Alphaproteobacteria; Rhodobacterales; Roseobacteraceae. The record is from RNAcentral.
UGGCGAAGGCCGGCUCUCUGUCUCGAUACUGAGGCUGAAGCAGCGAAAGUGUAUAGAGCAAUCAGGAUUAGAUUUCCUGGUAGUGCACACCGUAGACGAUGAAUGCCAGUCGUCGGCAAGCAUGUUUGUCGGUAACACACCUAACGGAUUAAGCAUUCCGCCUUCGAGUACGGUCGCAAGAUUAAAACUCAAAGGAAUUGGCGGGGGCCCGCGCAAGCGGUCGAGCAUGUGUUUUAAUUCGAAGCAACGCGCAGAACCUUACCAACCCUUGCCAUCCUAGGACCGCCAGAGAGAUCUGGCUUUCACUUCGGUGACCUAGUGACAGGUGGUGCAUGGCUGUCGUCAGCUUGUGUCGUGAGAUUUUCGGUUAAGUCCGGCAACGAGCGCAACCCACAUCUUCAGUUGCCAGCAGUUCGGGUGGGCACUAUGGAGAAACCCCCCGUGAUAAGCGGGAAGAAGGUG